AUACGUAGGGGGCGAGCGUUGUCCGGCAUUAUUGGGCGUAAAGGGCGUGUAGACGGUCAUAUAAGUUACAGGUGAAAGCCCAUUUUUCAAGGAUGGAACUGCCUGUAAGACUGUAAGACUUGAGUGCAGGAGAGGGAAGCGGAAUUCCAAGUGUAGCGGUGAAAUGCGUAGAUAUUUGGAGGAACACCAGUGGCGAAGGCGGCUUUCUGGACUGCAACUGAUGUUGAGGCGCGAAAGCGUGGGGAGCGAACAGGAUUAGAUACCCUGGUAGUCCACGCUGUAAACGAUGGAUGCUAGGUGUGGGGGGUAUCGACCCCCUCCGUGCCGGAGUUAACGCAAUAAGCAUCCCGCCUGGGGAGUACGGCCGCAAGGUUGAAACUUAAAGGAAUUGACGGGG
Molecule: ribosomal RNA, 397 nt
Filed under: uncultured bacterium
Lineage: Bacteria
Description: partial 16S ribosomal RNA
Rfam family: Bacterial small subunit ribosomal RNA
Source: RNAcentral